Molecule: ribosomal RNA, 253 nt
Filed under: uncultured bacterium
Lineage: Bacteria
Description: partial 16S ribosomal RNA
Rfam family: Bacterial small subunit ribosomal RNA
Source: RNAcentral
UACGGGGGGUGCGAGCGUUGUCCGGAAUCACUGGGCGUAAAGGGCGCGUAGGUGGUUUGAUAAGGGUGUGGUGAAAGCCCGGGGCUCAACCCCAGGUCUGCCGUGCCGACUGUCAAACUCGAGGGCUGUAGAGGCAGACGGAAUUCCGGGUGUAGCGGUGGAAUGCGUAGAGAUCCGGAGGAAGACCGGUGGCGAAGGCGGUCUGCUGGGCAGUUUCUGACACUGAUGCGCGACAGCGUGGGGAGCAAACAGG